UGGUCGUAAGUCUGACGGAGCACGCCGCGUGAGUGAUGAAGGCUUUCGGGUCGUAAAACUCUGUUGUUAGGGAAGAACAAGUACGAGAGUAACUGCUCGUACCUUGACGGUACCUAACCAGAAAGCCACGGCUAACUACGUGCCAGCAGCCGCGGUAAUACGUAGGUGGCAAGCGUUAUCCGGAAUUAUUGGGCGUAAAGCGCGCGCAGGCGGUUUCUUAAGUCUGAUGUGAAAGCCCACGGCUCAACCGUGGAGGGUCAUUGGAAACUGGGGAACUUGAGUGCAGAAGAGAAAAGCGGAAUUCCACGUGUAGCGGUGAAAUGCGUAGAGAUGUGGAGGAACACCAGUGGCGAAGGCGGCUUUUUGGUCUGUAACUGACGCUGAGGCGCGAAAGCGUGGGGAGCAAACAGGAUUAGAUACCCUGA
Molecule: ribosomal RNA, 425 nt
Filed under: Priestia aryabhattai
Lineage: Bacteria; Bacillati; Bacillota; Bacilli; Caryophanales; Bacillaceae
Description: bacterial SSU rRNA
Rfam family: Bacterial small subunit ribosomal RNA
Source: RNAcentral